Fragaria vesca subsp. vesca is the source of this 801-nucleotide RNA transcript. It is a transcript of the gene named probable ATP-dependent RNA helicase DDX47-like, with no coding region annotated. The record is from RefSeq and is a predicted model, not a curated record. The transcript has 7 exons. Lineage: Eukaryota; Viridiplantae; Streptophyta; Magnoliopsida; Rosales; Rosaceae.
AUGGCGGCAGAGGAAGAAAAUACGACGUCGUUUAAGAGUUUGGGGCUGUGCGAUCAAUUGGUGGAGGCCGUUGCUGAACUGCAAUGGAAAUCUCCUACCCCUAUUCAAGCCGAGGUGAUUCCUCCUGCCCUAUUAGGGAAAGAUUUGAUCGCACUUUCCCAAACGGGUUCGGGUAAAACUGGUGCCCUUCCCAUAUUGCAAUCUCUAAUCAUUUCUCCCGCACCCUUUCUUUGCUCUGGUUCUGUCCCCGACAAGGGAGCUUGCACUUCAGAUUGUUCAGCAGUUCGAAGCUCUCAGGUCUGCGAUUGGCCGCAAGACUGUAGCGGGAUGUUAUCUCGUUUAUCUUCGUACUCAGAAGUGCCAAUGCACAGCUAUCGUGUUCACUGAAAAAUGCUCAAAAACACCCUUUUUGGCAUGUAUGCUUCAAACUCUUGGCAUCAAGGCCAUCGCGCCCUCCAUGGUCAAAUGAGCCAGGAUUAUAUACACCGAGUAGGAAGAACUGCUCGCGCUGGACGAUCCGGUUUAGCAAUCUCUCUAGUGAAUCAAUAUGAAUGUGGGAAUUUGCAGAAGAUAGAAUCACUCAUUGGGAAAAAGUUACCAGAACAUCGAGCCACAGUUGAAGAAGUCAUGCAACUUAGUGAAAGUGUCAAAGAAGCCACAAGAUUGGCGACCAAGAAAAUAAAAGAGAGUUGAAAGAAGAAGAGGAAGUGGGGAGGGGAGACGAUGAUGAUGAUGCGGAGGAAGAUGUUCUCAAGUAUUCAACUCACAUGGAUAGAAAGUCCUAGAAGCGCAAACGAAGGU